GCCCCCUUAGCUCAGGGGAUAGAGCAACGGCCUCCGGAGCCGUGUGCGCAGGUUCGAAUCCUGCAGGGGGCGCCA
This 75-nucleotide transfer RNA is filed under the name Actinomadura sp. KC06. Its description in RNAcentral is "tRNA-Arg". It matches the Rfam family "tRNA". From Rfam's summary of the family: Transfer RNA (tRNA) molecules are approximately 80 nucleotides in length. Their secondary structure includes four short double-helical elements and three loops (D, anti-codon, and T loops). Further hydrogen bonds mediate the characteristic L-shaped molecular structure. tRNAs have two regions of fundamental functional importance: the anti-codon, which is responsible for specific mRNA codon recognition, and the 3' end, to which the tRNAs corresponding amino acid is attached (by aminoacyl-tRNA synthetases). tRNAs cope with the degeneracy of the genetic code in two manners: having more than one tRNA (with a specific anti-codon) for a particular amino acid; and 'wobble' base-pairing, i.e. permitting non-standard base-pairing at the 3rd anti-codon position. The record is from RNAcentral. RNAcentral also lists the same sequence under 1 other name. Lineage: Bacteria; Bacillati; Actinomycetota; Actinomycetes; Streptosporangiales; Thermomonosporaceae.